AGCCACAUCAUACUGAAACACCAGUUCCUGUACAAUCACCAAAGUUAAGCAACAUCAAGCCUGGUUAGUACCUAGAUGGGUGACUACUGAGAAUACCAUGUGCUGUAA
This is a non-coding RNA of Acanthosepion pharaonis, 108 nucleotides long. The record is from the annotation of a GenBank genome assembly. NCBI's taxonomy places the organism in Eukaryota, Metazoa, Mollusca, Cephalopoda, Sepiida, Sepiidae.